Molecule: long non-coding RNA, 2419 nt
Organism: Cicer arietinum (chickpea)
Lineage: Eukaryota; Viridiplantae; Streptophyta; Magnoliopsida; Fabales; Fabaceae
Source: RefSeq, a predicted model, not a curated record
AGUUCCCCACACCAAAAACCUUAGUGCCUGAACCAAAACCCUUAGCGUCUACACCAAAACUCUUAGUUCCUAAACCAAAACCCUUCUCAAUCUCUUGUCAGUCGCAUAUGUACUAUUCACCUCCAUCGCAUCUUUGCUUUGUCGUUGUUUCCUUGCCUCUCGUCUGAACCUAAAUACCCGUCUCAGUUGCAUUUGUCUUGCACAUCGUCGUUUUAUUCUCUGACUUCUUUGUGUCCGAAAUUUCCCGCCGUCUUGUGCUCUGACAACUCGUGUUUGACUUAACCCUCACUAGAAGGUCGCGCACAUAGUGCUUCAUAUAGAAGAUUAUUGGGUCCAAUAAAGCGUCUUGAAUUUUUAUAUCCCAAUUCAAAUCCAAGAGGGGAUUAUUCUGAAAAUGAAUAAGGAAGCAAGUUUAAAACAAAAGAUGAAAGCUCAAGACCAAGGUGAGAGAAAUACUUCCAAGUUUGAGCUACUUCAAGCAAGAUCAAGCAAUGAAUUACUAAGGAGAUUCAAAAUCAAGCGUGAAAAGAUAAUGAGAGGCACUGGAGUAACUAAUGAAGAUAUGGUUGGAACCAAAGAACCCAUUGGCAAGCAAAACAAUCCAUCAACUAAUAAGAUUAGUUUCAAGGCUACAGUGUUAGACAAGCAAACUCAAGGAGUCAAGCAUCCUUCGAUUAAGAUUGCACCUCAAGCACAAUUUAAGUUAUCAAAUUUUGCAGCAAUUGAUCAAAUAAAUAUAUCGAAAGAAAAUGACACCAAUUAGAAAUGCAUAUAUCGAAAGAAAAUGACACCAAUUGAUCAAAUAAAUAUAUCGAAAGAAGUUCAAUCACCAAUUAGAAAUGCAUCGAAAGAAAAUGACAUUUCAAGAACAAAACAAAAGGCCAAAAAAAUGGUGCAUGUUGAAGAUGACGAGGAAAUGGCAAGUCAACAAAGUGCAACAAAGAAAACCAAAAGAAUGCCAUUGUGCAAAUCAAUGUUAAUUGAAGAUUUUCUUAAGGAAAAUAAUGAACUUGAUGAUGAAGAAGAGCUGGGAAAUGAUACAUGAAGUGAAGAGGAAGAAUAUGUCAUGGAAGAAGAGAAUGAAGAUCAAGUUGAAGAUGACUAAAGUAAUGGGACAACUAAGAAAAAAACCAGGACACCAACUCAGUGAUUGAAUAUACAUGGAAGAAAGUUUCGUAUAGAAGUCACCUUAGACAAUGACGGAGAAGUGAUAGGACCUGAUGACAAAGUUGUAACUGACUUAGGGUAUUUCCUUGGCACUAUCGCAAGGAAUUCAGCCUUUUGUCCCUUGAUUUAUACAAACUUUAAGAAAGUGUACAAAAAUCAUGAGGAACGUAUAUGGCCUUAUAUUCAUGUAUAAGAGCUUAAUUUUCAUAUUUUAUUUGAUCAUCAAUUAGUUAUCACAUGUUGAUCACAACAAUGUUUUUCAGAGUAAAUUUAUCAUUUCUGAGAAAGGGAAGAAAACUGUUUUUUCUCGAAUAAAUGAUGCAUGGAGACGUUACAAAUGUUAUAUCAAGAGGACACAUUUUUUGAAAUACUCAACCUUGAAGGAAAGGUUAAAAAACAGGUCUGAAAGCAUACCAGAACCUCAUUUCAAGAAAUUGUUGAAAUAUUGGAGUAAGAGUAUCAUCCAAAACAUUAGAAUUAAAAUAUUGUCAAUAAGGCUAAACAGAAGUUUAUGCAUCGAAUGGGGCCAACAAAUUUUGCUAGAGUUCGUGCAAAAGAACGUGCAAAGAAGGAAAAUAGGGAGGAAGUCACCCAAGCUGAAAUGUUUGUCAUAACUCGUCAAUGAAGAAAAGGAAAAAUUGACGAAGAAACAGAAAAUGCCAUUGCAAAACUUCAAGAUUCAAUUCAAAACUCUAGUGAGCCUCAUGACCAAGCCUUUCAAACAUUGUUUGGCAAAGAAAAGUUGGGUAGAGUUCGUUGUUAUGGAAGAACAGCUACACCAACAAUGUUAAAAAAAAUGAAGAGAUUGCUAACAUUAAGAAACAUUAUGAAUGUGAAAUUAGUAGCAUGAAGGAAAUGAUGGAAGAAUAUGAGUCAUUUACAAAGAAAAGGAUGGAAGCAUAUGAGGAAUUUCUAAAAUGUGUGUUGAAGCAGCAAAAUUCAAGUUUAAGUGAAACUGUUGUUGAUAACAUGAUGUGACAUGCUUUAGGUAUUGCAAAUAGUGCGACACUCCAUUCUUCUACAUCAACUCAUGUUCCUGAAAAGGUUGGAAUUGAAGAUCAUCACCAAGAUACAUGAAGCUAGUGGAAUGUAUUGAAAACGUUUUUUGGCAAUGCAAAUUUUGGUUGUUGCAUUAGGAAUAAAAAACUUGUUGGUUUUUUUUUUUUAUCUAAUCAUGUAUUGGUUUUUUUUGGAUAUCCAAUAAUAUUUGUGUUACAUUAUUUUGAUGAGACAAUUGUUUUUGUUCGUAAUA